CCGGUGACCUCUGUACGCACGGAGCAUGCGCACACCAGGGGCCAGGCACCGGUAAAACGCCGAGGACGCGCUCGUCGCCCCCUGGUGGCCGGGAGGACGCACCCUGGACUCCGCCCCGCCCACCCUUCCGCACAGGCGCAUGCGCAGACAUCUGGGCGUUGUCAGGGACGCCGGCCGGCGACUCCGGAGUCUUUAAGGAUGAGCUGCUGUGAUCCCACGGUUGCAAAAUCCCGAGUAGCCAGUGUGGAGCGGAGAUCUUCCAACCUCUUCAGAGGGCAGAGCGCAGGGUCAAGGUUCUGAAUUUACCUGCCCAUGCUUUUGAGAAAUUGAGAAUAUUUGUUCUCAGCCGCAAUUCCAUUCUAACAGCCCUUAUUUUCCUGUCCCUUGCCUGGAGCUUUCUGAGCCAAUUUUGUGUUGGUUUUGUUUGUUUGUUUUAACUCUUUCACUAUCUUGACAUACCAUUUUCCUGCCACUUUGUCCCUAGUGCUAUGAGUUUUAGGCUUUCCUUCCCCUUCUCUCAUAAGUAGUACUAACUUGACAUACUCCUCCAUUAGCGCUGAAUCACCGUGCUCUUCUCAGCCCCAUUUCUCAGCUCUACUGCCUCUCGAGUCUCUGUAAUCUUGGCAAACCCUGGUGUAACUUAACGCUGUAUUUGGAAAAAGAAAAAAAAAAUCUACGGUACACAUUCUAUCUUCCUUUCCCCUUCUCUUCCACCCACCCUUUGUCUCUUCCUUCUUUUACGUUUCCGAAAGUAUUCAAUGUGAUUGGCCCAUAGUUUUUAAAGCCCACCAGCAAGAAAAUAAGUUUUCGAAUUAAUAUUUUUCCCAGACUGUGGUUGUGAAAUCUAUUAAAGAUUUUAGCCUGGUUGGUUAGGUGAAUAGAUUAGUUGUGUCUAACCAACUUAAAGAAAAAAAUUAGGGGGAGGGGUUUUCAUUUUUUUAAGGACUAUUACUAAUUAAACUGUUUCAUAAUAGAGAAAACACUAGAGGGGUAAAGUUCUCACUGUUGCUUAUGAAACCUGUCUCUGGAGAUGGGUUAUGUAGAAGCUAAAACCGUGUUCAGUGAGUUAAUUUGUUAGUUAUCCUGAAGGUGGCAGUCUGCUCCAAGAUUUCCAUCUGAGAGCUUUUUAAACAAGUUCAUAACUGGGUGCCUUUUUUUUAAAACCAAUUUCUCUGGACAUCAAGAAAUGUUCCUUGGCCUCAUUAAGUCUGUUCUGUGCUUUAAGAAUUAUAGUAGCAAUUCCACUCACUGCCUGCUAAAGUAUUUUAAAUUUUCAUGUGAUUCCACCAAACUUAGGGCUACAUGAAAGUAACCUUACACAAGAGUUUCGAGUGAGUCCAGGACAGCAGAUAGUACAAAAUUAAAGAUCUGUGAAUUUCUACACGCAGGAAAGCUUGGAUUUGACACUGGAAGAGACAGUGGCAGCAUCCAAGGCAUAUGCAUGAGGCUGGCCACAGACAGACCUGAUGUUGGUCAUAUGACUUCCUGACUUAUGGUUCUUUGAAGUGCCCUCUUCUGACAUGGUCCCUGAACCUUGGGAAGAGGGCCUGUGGAUACAGAUGUCCCAUUCCUGACCGAGCACUCUGUAGACACCUUUUUCUGCAUUUUACUUGAGCUUCUGCACAAAGAAAUGUCUCUGAUGAGGUUUGAGAGUUACACUAACAUAUUGGUAGUGAGACACAAAGUCGGUGUGUAGUUUGACUCUAUGUUUAUUAAUAGGAGUAGGUUUCCUCCUGUACCUUGUGAGCUCACAACCAUUGCUUCCUGAGAGACCUUUUCAUUAAAGCCAUGUGAUUCCUCC
This is a long non-coding RNA of Mus musculus (house mouse), 1801 nucleotides long. RefSeq annotates it as predicted gene, 46848. The transcript has 3 exons. Lineage: Eukaryota; Metazoa; Chordata; Mammalia; Rodentia; Muridae. The record is from RefSeq and is a predicted model, not a curated record.